CCUACGGGUGGCAGCAGUGGGGAAUUUUGGACAAUGGGCGCAAGCCUGAUCCAGCCAUGCCGCGUGUAUGAAGAAGGCCUUAGGGUUGUAAAGUACUUUUGUUAGGGAAGAAAAGGCAUUUGCUAAUACCAGAUGCUGUUGACGGUACCUAAAGAAUAAGCACCGGCUAACUACGUGCCAGCAGCCGCGGUAAUACGUAGGGUGCGAGCGUUAAUCGGAAUUACUGGGCGUAAAGCGAGCGCAGACGGUUACUUAAGCAAGAUGUGAAAUCCCCGAGCUCAACUUGGGAACUGCGUUUUGAACUGGGUAGCUAGAGUAUGUCAGAGGGGGGUAGAAUUCCACGUGUAGCAGUGAAAUGCGUAGAGAUGUGGAGGAAUACCGAUGGCGAAGGCAGCCCCCUGGGAUGAUACUGACGUUCAUGCUCGAAAGCGUGGGUAGCAAACAGGAUUAGAUACCCUUGUAGUC
Molecule: ribosomal RNA, 465 nt
Filed under: uncultured Kingella sp.
Lineage: Bacteria; Pseudomonadati; Pseudomonadota; Betaproteobacteria; Neisseriales; Neisseriaceae
Description: bacterial SSU rRNA
Rfam family: Bacterial small subunit ribosomal RNA
Source: RNAcentral